UACAGAGGUCCCAAGCGUUGUUCGGAUUCACUGGGCGUAAAGGGUGCGUAGGUGGUGGGGUAAGUCUGAUGUGAAAUCUUCGAGCUUAACUCGGAAAUGGCAUUGGAUACUACUCUGCUAGAGGUUUGGAGGGGGGACUGGAAUUCUCGGUGUAGCAGUGAAAUGCGUAGAUAUCGAGAGGAACACCAGUGGCGAAGGCGAGUCCCUGGACAGCACCUGACGCUGAGGCACGAAAGCUAGGGGAGCAAACAGG
This 253-nucleotide ribosomal RNA is filed under the name uncultured bacterium. Its description in RNAcentral is "partial 16S ribosomal RNA". It matches the Rfam family "Bacterial small subunit ribosomal RNA", at positions 524 to 776 of the family's 1533-position model. The record is from RNAcentral.